CAGUCGCCGCGGGAAUACGGAGGGUGCAAGCGUUAAUCGGAAUUACUGGGCGUAAAGCGCACGCAGGCGGUCUGACAAGUCAGAUGUGAAAUCCCCGGGCUUAACCUGGGAACUGCAUUUGAAACUGUCAGGCUGGAGUCUUGUAGAGGGGGGUGGAAUUCCAGGUGUAGCGGUGAAAUGCGUAGAGAUCUGGAGGAAUACCGGUGGCGAAGGCGGCCCCCUGGACAAAGACUGACGCUCAGGUGCGAAAGCGUGGGGAGCAAACAGGAUUAGAUACCCGCGUAGUCCCUGUCUCUUAUAA
This 301-nucleotide ribosomal RNA is filed under the name uncultured bacterium. Its description in RNAcentral is "partial 16S ribosomal RNA". It matches the Rfam family "Bacterial small subunit ribosomal RNA", at positions 509 to 809 of the family's 1533-position model. The record is from RNAcentral.